GUUCAACGACAAAGUUUGCACAUCACUAGCGUGCAGAAUCUUCGAGAAACGACACAUUAUUAAUAUAAAAGGACAAGUUCAGUUUGUCCAACUCUCUUUCGUGUAACAUCUCUCGAGCUGCAAAGCAAGGUGAUUUUGUUCAUUGACAUUUACCAAAGUCAGUUUCAUUAAUCCUUGGUGACGUGUGUAAAACCAGGGUCCUUAUAACUGGUACAAAAUAUGUAUCCAGUAGGGUGCGGAGCAUGACCUUCUGAUUACCUUCGGAAUCCCAUAGCACCUUCCGAUAUGGACGCUGCCAGAAGCGGGGAGCUCUAGCAAGUCGGUCCAAGGAAGGCUGCUUGACUUCGGUAGACAUAGGACACACCCGCAUUCCCAGCCUCGCUCGCAUACAGCAACCCCGGUUACUGGGAAGUGAUCCUGGUGAAACGUAUUGUUUCUUUUAUUUCUAUUAAAACUUUCUCGAGUGUUCGGUCUAUCUACCGACACACCGUCUUUAUUAAUUUCAAUAAUGUAGCUGUUUGAGCCUCUCACUAGUAUCUAAUAACUAUUAUUGUAAAUUAAACUUAUUUUAUACUUGUAUAUCUGUGUCCAAUAAACACAAUAUUGUUAAUUGUAA
This is a long non-coding RNA of Bombyx mori (domestic silkworm), 616 nucleotides long. RefSeq lists it as uncharacterized. The transcript is spliced from 2 exons. Lineage: Eukaryota; Metazoa; Arthropoda; Insecta; Lepidoptera; Bombycidae. The record is from RefSeq and is a predicted model, not a curated record.